UGAAAGGCGCUUUCGGGUGUCGCUGAUGGAUGGACCCGCGGUGCAUUACCCACUUGGUGAGGUAACGGCUCACCAAGGCCACGAUGCAGAGCCGACCUGAGAGGGUGAUCGGCCCCACUGGGACUGAGACACGGCCCAUACUCCUACGGGAGGCUGCAGUGGGGAAUCUUCGGCGAUGGACAAAAGUCUGACCGAGCAACGCCUCGUGGUUGAAGAACGUUUUCGGAUCGUAAAACUCUGUUAUUAGAGAGCAACAAGGGCUUUAUUAACUGAACAUCCCCUGACGGUUUCUAACCAUAAUGCCACGACUUACUUAGUUCCACAGUCGCGGUAAUACCAAGGUAGCAAGCAUAGUCCGGAUUCAUUGGGCGUAAAGCGAAUUCUUGCUUUUUCUUAAGUCUGUUGCGAAAGCCCCCGCCUCCGCGUUGGUGUGUCAUUGUAAACGGGUAGACUUGAGUGCAAAACAUGAGAGUGUAAUUCCUCGUGUAGUGAGGUAAUGCAUACAUAUAUGGAGGAACACCUGUGGCGAACGCGGCUCUCUGGUCUGUUACUGACGCUGAAGCUCGAUAGCGUGUGGAGCAAACAUGAUUAUCUACCCUGUUAGUCCACGCCGUAACGAUGAGUAGCUAGGUGUUGGACGGUUACGUCCCUUCAGUGCUGCAGCAAACGCAUUAAGCACUCCGACUGGGGAAUACUACCGCAAGGGUUGAAAUUCAAAGGAUUGGCGGGGGCCCCCACUAAGUGUGGAGAAUGC
RNAcentral lists this ribosomal RNA (754 nucleotides) under Enterococcus faecalis. RNAcentral describes it as "bacterial SSU rRNA". It matches the Rfam family "Bacterial small subunit ribosomal RNA", at positions 201 to 942 of the family's 1533-position model. The record is from RNAcentral. Lineage: Bacteria; Bacillati; Bacillota; Bacilli; Lactobacillales; Enterococcaceae.